AUGUGGCCUAGCUUUCAGGGGCAGAGUCGGCCCAGGCUGACAGGAGAGCGAGUCGCGGGGAUCCUGGCUCGGCGAUGCCAAGUUCGCCUCCGCUUUCCCACUCCCUGCCUUUCCUCGCUCGCACCUGCACGAUGCUCAAGGUGUCCGCCGUGCUGUGCGUGUGUGCAGCGGCUUGGUGCAGUCAGGCUGCGGCCGGGGGGCGUUCGGACGGCGGUAAUUUUCUGGAUGAUAAACAAUGGCUCACCACCAUCUCUCGGAAGUCGGACAGUGGAACAAAUUCCGGGACGUGAGUGCUGCGCGCCCCCCUCACCCCACCGCCACGACCCCCGUCCCCGGGCACGGCUGGGGUGGGGGAGUGGGCUCGGGCGGAGCGGGGCCGCUCUCCGCCGCCCCGCCGGGGAGAACUUGGCGGCGCCGGGCCGGGCCGGCUGGGAGGGUGGGUGGGCGCCCAGCGCCCCCGCAGCCCCCCGAGGCUUGCAAAGUGCGGGCUGCACCUUCCCAACUUUUGAGUGCGAUUCCGGGGCCCGGCAAAUGCAGCGGAUGCGCCGAAAGUCACCGGGGUCCAUCCCCGCCGUGCGCAGAGUGGUCCAGUGAGGAAUCCGCUGGGAGAGGGACAGAUGUACGGGUUGACGGACGCCCGGCUCCCCGGGGGUGGGAAGGUGGUCAGUCCGCACCGGUCGGUCGGCAGAAGUUGAACUGCCCCCUCACGCCGUAAAAAUCGCCGAUCCGGUCCGAGUGUCAUCCAGAACCCGUUCGCCAGGCUCUGGAACCCGGGCUCAUUCCGAAGGGGAAGCUGGCAGGUGGGGCGGGGGUCGGCCAGGAAAGGGUUAAACGGUGGGCUCCCCCCCCCCAGCCCCAGCACCGGGGCGCUCCGUCCGUCCCCCGCCGGGAGGCCCGCGGUGCGAACCCGGGACCGCGACGUCGCAGCCCCUCGGUCCCGCCACAGCCUGCCCCUCAGCUUGGAGCCUGGCGGCCAGGGCGGGCGGCGCGGGUCCCCUGGACGCGCCCGGCUCCGAGGUCCCAGCCCCUCCGAGGGACACCCGCAGGCCCGACCCGGAGCCGGCCCGCGCCGCGGCACUGGGCACUGGCGGGGGUCUCCCGCGGGGUCCCGCUGCGGAGCCCCGCGCGCCUUAACUUCUCUCCUCCGCCCCGGCUCCCCCGCGACUUGGGGUCCCCCGGCCCCCCAGCCCUGCACUGGGCCAGGAAGUAGCCGACGAGCCCAGCCUGGGAGAGGGAAUCCGCAGAAAAUGGUCAUUUUGACUUUAAGUGUAGGUGCAGCUGGUUGGUGCGUGGGCACCCAGGAGGAACAAUGAUGAAAUACUGAAUGAGGGCUCUGUCUUAGAAACAAAGCAGAGCGUAGUUUUAUUGCUAACUGGAUGCUCUUAUAAAGAAAAAAAAACUCUUAGGCGUUUGUUUUGAAUGUAUAUUAAUAUAUAUAUUAGAUAUAUGUAUAUAUUUACAAAAAAGCUAGAGAGUGAGAUAUGUAUAAACCUGGAGAGAAUGUGUUCAGCAUGCUCUCAGUGGGGGGAACAUUGAAAAUUUUGUCAGUAUUAGAACAAUAUUUCAAAUUUCAAGUUUUUUUUUUAUUUCUUGG
Long non-coding RNA from Oryctolagus cuniculus (rabbit), 1594 nucleotides. Lineage: Eukaryota; Metazoa; Chordata; Mammalia; Lagomorpha; Leporidae. The record is from Ensembl.